This 537-nucleotide ribosomal RNA is filed under the name uncultured bacterium. RNAcentral's name for it is "bacterial SSU rRNA". It matches the Rfam family "Bacterial small subunit ribosomal RNA", at positions 358 to 916 of the family's 1533-position model. The record is from RNAcentral.
GGAAUUUUGCACAAUGGAGGAAACUCUGAUGCAGCGAUGCCGCGUGAGUGAAGAAGGCCUUUGGGUUGUAAAGCUCUUUUGUGGGGGAAGAUAAUGACGGUACCCCAAGAAUAAGAUCCGGCUAACUUCGUGCCAGCAGCCGCGGUAAUACGAAGGGAUCUAGCGUAGUUCGGAAUUACUGGGCGUAAAGCGCGCGUAGGCGGUUUAGAAAGUUAAUUGUGAAAUCCCAAAGCUUAACUUUGGAACAGCAAUUAAAACUUCUAAACUAGAGUUUGAUAGAGGGAAGCGGAAUACAUAGUGUAGAGGCGAAAUUCGUAGAUAUUAUGUAGAACACCAGUUGCGAAGGCGGCUUCCUGGAUCAACACUGACGCUGAGGUGCGAAAGUAUGGGUAGCAAAGAGGAUUAGAUACCCUCGUAGUCCAUACCUUAAACGAUGAUUGCUAGAUGUUGGAAAUUUUUUUCAGUAUCGCAGCUAACGCGUUAAGCAAUCCGCCUGGGGAGUACGACCGCAAGGUUAAAACUCAAAUGAAUUGACGG